This is a long non-coding RNA of Mauremys reevesii (Reeves's turtle), 1164 nucleotides long. RefSeq lists it as uncharacterized. The transcript is spliced from 3 exons. The record is from RefSeq and is a predicted model, not a curated record. Lineage: Eukaryota; Metazoa; Chordata; Testudines; Geoemydidae.
CUGAGAGUGGCCAAUACAAGAUGCUUCAGAGGAAGGUGUCAAAACUCCACAGUAGGUCCAUGUGGGAUAAUCUACCUCCACAUUAGGUCUCAACCUGCUCUGUAACACAGAGAUGGAUUAAGCCCUGAAGCAUGAGGUGUAAUACCUCUUUCAAACUUUGGUGUUAUUUAUAACUCUGGAUAUCCUCGAUGCCUAUAUAAAGGUCUAGUUCCCUUUUGAAUCUUGCCAAGUUCUUGGACUCAACAACAUCUUGUGAUCACUAAUAAAUGUAUUCAACAACACGGGACCUAGUACAGAACCUUGAGGGCCCCACUGUCCACCUUUUAUAGCCGCCAGCAGCAAAGAAGAGUUACUACUUCUGACAAGGCUGGUUUGAAGAUGCAGAUGGACAAAGGGCAAAAGUGGAUUAGCCCCAAACUCCAGCCUGGAGCAAUCAGGGAGUGUUGCACUCAUUGUGGGACAUCUGGAAUGGCAGAACCUAAAGGUGCAAAACAGGCCACUGUAUGCAAUGGUGGAGAUACAGAACUGGACUCAGACAGGGCCUGUAAUAAAGAUAUGAGGGAAAUCAUGGCAAUACAGCCACUGAUGUCUGUUCAGACUAGCCUGAGCUCAAGAACAAGGCUCUUGCAUGCUUCGGAACCGACAUCAGAUCUUCCUUCUGCAUCUGGAUUGAAUCACCUGACUGCUUUUCCUACCUUGCACCAUCUAGGUGGGCUGGUGGAGCCUAGGAGAGACUGUGUUAUCCCCAAGCACCUAGUAAUCUCUAGCUAAAAGAAAAUUCAAAAAAUGUGCAAAAAGUGGAAGGGAUGAGGGAGCAGCCUGAGGGCUCUUCAGUGUCCCAAGGACAAGCUAGAGACCUGUUUGCUCCAGAUCACCUUGGCUUGGCUGGUUGCUGGGGGCCCCUUGCCGUCUGGCUGUGCCUCAAGGGGCUGCACAGGAACGUGCCAUGUGAUUGCAGCUCCAAUGCCAUUGACUUUAAAGCUUGAUUGUAGUGAGGAUGAUUGACAGUCAUGUGACACAACGUGUGCCGCAAACAGAGAAGUAAAGGAGAGCUGGGAGUGGGCCGCCCUGGGUUCAAGAGCACUCAGCGGUCAUGGUGAUCCAUGUGAUAUAAGAACCUGAGCAUAAUAGGACAUUACAGAGCAAAGCCCAGAUACGUACACA